AGCGAACGUUUGCGGCGGGCCUAACACAUGCAAGUCGAACGCACUAGCAAUAGUGAGUGGCGCACGGGUGCGUAACACGUGGGUAAUCAACCCUUCAGCUUGGGAUAACGACUUGAAAGGGUCGCUAAUACCGGAUACGGCGCGGGAGGCUUCGGCUUCUCACGAGAAAGCCUCGCAAGGGGCACUGAAGGACGAGCCUGCGGCCCAUCAGCUAGUUGGUGAGGUAAGAGCUCACCAAGGCGAAGACGGGUAGCUGGUCUGAGAGGAUGAUCAGCCACACUGGAACUGAGACACGGUCCAGACUCCUACGGGAGGCAGCAGUGGGGAAUAUUGCGCAAUGGGCGAAAGCCUGACGCAGCCACGCCGCGUGAGCGAUGAAGGCCUUCGGGUCGUAAAGCUCUGUGGGGAGAGACGAAGAAAGCCCGUGAAGAGCGGGCCUUGACGGUAUCUCCUUAGCAAGCACCGGCUAACUCCGUGCCAGCAGCCGCGG
RNAcentral lists this ribosomal RNA (490 nucleotides) under uncultured bacterium. RNAcentral's name for it is "bacterial SSU rRNA". It matches the Rfam family "Bacterial small subunit ribosomal RNA", at positions 29 to 520 of the family's 1533-position model. The record is from RNAcentral.